RNAcentral lists this ribosomal RNA (581 nucleotides) under uncultured bacterium. RNAcentral describes it as "bacterial SSU rRNA". It matches the Rfam family "Bacterial small subunit ribosomal RNA", at positions 319 to 896 of the family's 1533-position model. The record is from RNAcentral.
CUGAGACACUGCCCAGACACCUACGGGUGGCUGCAGUCGAGAAUCUUCGGCAAUGGACGCAAGUCUGACCGAGCGACGCCGCGUGCGGGAUGAAGGCCUUCGGGUUGUAAACCGCUGUCGUAGAGGAGGAAAUUCUGGUGGGUACUCCCAUCAGAUUGACUGAUUCUAGGAGGAAGGACCGGCUAAUCUCGUGCCAGCAGCCGCGGUAAUACGAGAGGUCCAAACGUUAUUCGGAAUUACUGGGCUUACAGAGUUCGUAGGCGGUUCUACAAGUGAGGUGUGAAAGCCCUCGGCUCAACCGAGGAACUGCGCUUCAAACUGUAGAACUAGAGGGAGAUAGAGGUGAGCAGAACUGAUGGUGGAGCGGUGAAAUGCGUUGAUAUCAUCAGGAAUACCGGAGGCGAAGGCGGCUCACUGGGUCUCUUCUGACGCUGAGGAACGAAAGCUAGGGGAGCAAACGGGAUUAGAUACCCCGGUAGUCCUAGCCGUAAACGAUGAGCACUGGGCCGGAGCUCUGCACAGGGUUUCGGCCGUAGCGAAAGUGUUAAGUGCUCCGCCUGGGGAGUAUGGUCGCAAGGCUG